AGCAGUUUCCUUGCUCUAGCAGCACUAUCAAAAGGUAUCCACAAGUUCCAUAAGCCUUCUUUCUUAGCCAUCUCCUUUAGUUUCUCUUCCUCUGGAUGAAUGGUCCAGCGUGAGGAAGACUGAGCAAGUUUAUAAAAUUCAUUUUCCAUCGGGUAUAUAUGAUCUUCCAUGAACUUAAUCAACCUGGUUCUCAACUCCAUGACCUUUUUACUGGGGACAAACUUUCCUCCAUCUUUGAGAAUGCCCCA
RNAcentral lists this unclassified non-coding RNA (248 nucleotides) under Hevea brasiliensis (rubber tree). Lineage: Eukaryota; Viridiplantae; Streptophyta; Magnoliopsida; Malpighiales; Euphorbiaceae. The record is from RNAcentral.